This 64-nucleotide transfer RNA is filed under the name Monodelphis domestica (gray short-tailed opossum). It matches the Rfam family "tRNA", at positions 5 to 66 of the family's 71-position model. Rfam says of the family: Transfer RNA (tRNA) molecules are approximately 80 nucleotides in length. Their secondary structure includes four short double-helical elements and three loops (D, anti-codon, and T loops). The record is from Rfam by way of RNAcentral. Lineage: Eukaryota; Metazoa; Chordata; Mammalia; Didelphimorphia; Didelphidae.
CUUUAGCACAGUAGGUAGCGCAUCAGUCUACCAAGCUGAAGGUCCAGAGUUCGAUCCUCAGAAG